AUUGAACGCUGGCGGAAUGCUUUACACAUGCAAGUCGAGCGGCAGCGCGGGGCAACCUGGCGGCGAGCGGCGAACGGGUGAGUAAUACAUCGGAACGUACCCAGUUGUGGGGGAUAGCCCGGCGAAAGCCGGAUUAAUACCGCAUACGACCUGAGGGUGAAAGCGGGGGACUCGCAAGAGCCUCGCGCUAUUGGAGCGGCCGAUGUCAGAUUAGGUAGUUGGUGGGGUAAAAGCCUACCAAGCCGACGAUCUGUAGCUGGUCUGAGAGGACGACCAGCCACACUGGGACUGAGACACGGCCCAGACUCCUACGGGAGGCAGCAGUGGGGAAUUUUGGACAAUGGGCGCAAGCCUGAUCCAGCCAUGCCGCGUGCGGGAAGAAGGCCU
RNAcentral lists this ribosomal RNA (387 nucleotides) under uncultured bacterium. RNAcentral describes it as "bacterial SSU rRNA". It matches the Rfam family "Bacterial small subunit ribosomal RNA", at positions 29 to 417 of the family's 1533-position model. The record is from RNAcentral.